CUGUCAAAUUUGCAAUGCGCCAUCUGCUGUUAAAAUUGUAAAUGAUAGCGUUUAGACAUUAGAGGGGUGUAGUCAAAAUUAAUACAAAAUACAGAACAUUGGAGAGGCUUAUAGACUGAAAAAAAUAAAACUUGUGAUAUCCAGAAGUCUUUACAUAUAAAAGGAGUUGGUCAAUUGUGGUGAAGUAAAUUAAAAAAAUUGUGUUUGUUUUUGAAGUGGAAUUAUUGUGUCUUCAUACUGGAAAUAGAGGAAAUAAAACGUUUGCCGAAUUAUUUGAAAAAUGAAAAAAAUAGACACAUCAUUGGAGUUAGGGCCGUGAGAGAAAGGAGGUGUGAAGCUUGUCAUCCAGAAAAUUUGAGAAUCACGGGGCAAUCUUGCCCAAAAUUCGACCAAGCAAAAUAUCCUGGGGAAUUUAUCCUUGAUCUGUGGUUAGAUAAGGAUACAUUCAAGACACUGCUGAAAAUAUGAAUUGGAAGGAAGACUCAAUAAUCUGAAUGAAAGCCGAAAGAAUGACUUUUUGAAAUUAUUUUUAAAUUUGAUAAGUUUUAUCUCAGUUCACCUUUAUCUUGUUUUGUUUCUCUAAUAAGACUAUAUUUAUAACAGAAUGAUUUUCUCCAAGGAAUACUCAUUUUUUUUCUUUGUACAUUUUGGAUGUUAAAUAUGUGAGAGUAUGUAAUUUGGGAUUUCAUGAAUUUUGCUGAUGGUAUUUAUGGAUAUCUCUCAAAAUUUGUUUGUUAUAAAUGCAGUACAAAUAGCCCGACAAUUCCCCGAAAAGCUAGCGAUAGCAGUGCCAACAGCUCUAAGAUCUCAUCCCGAUUCAAUGCUUGGCCGAAAGCGUUAAGCAGGCACUCUUCCAAUAGAUCAAACUCAUCUAAUCAAGGCGGACAUAAGAGGAAUCUUUCCAACCAAUCAGCAAGGUCAUGCGAGCUAGGGGAGGAGGCUGUACCGUCAGACACUUCUCUGGGCGGUCCCUCCUCCCCAGUAAUCGCAAUUACUUCAAUGACUGUUUACAAAUCCACAUCAAAAGCAGAGGAUUUGAACUCAAAACAUUCACAGAAGCAUGCCACCAGUAUAGAUCUAGACAAAAUAGACAAUAUAGAAUUUAUAGAUACCACCCCAUCAGCAAGUCUGACGGGUCAUAUAAAUAAUGUUGGUUAUCAUACUAUUGAGAAGGUGACAAAGGAAAAUAAAAAGACUUCCUCAAGAUCAAGAUCUGUGGAAGAUGAAGUUUUUGUGGGGCCCUCAUUGAGGAUCAAGCCGCAACCAACUAAAGUUUCAAAAACAAAGAUUAGUAAUACCAAGAAGAAAGCGAAAAAGGAGAAGGAUAAACCAAACGAGGUGCCAAAGGUUAAUAUAGGUUCCAUGGAAAUCAAAGAUAAAUUUUCAGAUGUGCUAGCCGAGAAGCCUCAAAACGAAACAAAAAUCACUGAGGAGAAUCUCAAGGAUACAUCCAUGGUUGUUAAGACUUCAACAGUUGAGACUGAGCAUCGUAAAACGGUUACAACGACUACUAGUUUGAACCGUUAUACAUUUACAAAAAUCAAAGAUGAACAACCAAAGCUACAGAAGGAAAUCAGGACCCAUAGCUGUUCCUCGAUACCAUAUGAUAAUAUAAUUGAGAAUUUGGCACCAUUCCGUAAAAGAUUCUGCAACAUUCAGAUAUUCGAUGGAAAUGAUGAAGAUGAACUAAAUUUCAAUGUAGAUUCCAAAAAAGAUACGAAAAUCGCUUCGAGGGAAGAAGUGGAGCCCGUUGUGAAUGAAGUACUGAAGGAGGUGUUCGAUAUGGCCGUACAGAUAAUAACGAAAAACCGGCUGCAGCUGCCUCAGGAUAAGAUCCAGAUGCCUGUAGUGUCAGCGCUGCCCGCGAAAUCCACUCUAGUUGAUUACAAAAGCCGCAUUCGUUGCAAUACCAGUGAUAUUCUGUCGCCCCUCUCCAAGAUGCUGACCACAGCCGUCGAUCACCAGGUACUGGACGCUAAGAACUUCGUCGAGGAUUAUGAAGAGUUCCACGACUGUUGCUCGGAGAUGACAGAUUCCAAGAUUGGGACAUACACCACUCUUAACGAUGUCGAUUUGCCUGACAAGGAACGGGGAAGGAGUAGAAAAAAAAAGGAUAAGUCUGUGAAACAUGGCGGGGUGACCUGCAUGAUACCGGUCGAGACCGACUCCAAUGCCGAGGACGAAGUAGAGACGAUGCAGAGCGACCAACGGUUAAGAGAGAUCGGUCCCAUGUACAAUAUACCGAAGAACUAUUUUAUGAAUCCAGAACUGACAGAGAUAACGGAACAGACUAUCGAUGAGCUUCAUCGGAACGACGAAAACGCGGAAAAUAGCGAGAAUAUAGUGGAGCAGAGCGUCGUUGUCAAUUUGAGCCUCAGCAAGGAGGGAAAGGUGGAGGAUGAGGACGAUGUCUACAAGCCCAUUGCUGUCAGCCCAGACGGAAGGUUCUUCAAAUAUGAGGAAGAGAUCGGCCGAGGAGCUUUCAAAACUGUUUACCGUGGUCUGGAUACUCAAACUGGUGUGGCAGUUGCAUGGUGUGAACUACAAGAAAAAAAACUAAACAAGGCUGAGAGACAAAGGUUCCGGGAAGAGGCUGAGAUGUUGAAAAAACUACAGCAUCCGAACAUAGUGAGAUUUUACAAUUAUUGGGAGUAUACAGGGACAAAGAAGAAAAAUAUAGUGCUUGUGACAGAGCUCAUGUUGAGUGGAACUCUUAAAACGUACCUGAGGAGAUUCAAGAAGAUAAACCCAAAGGUGUUGAAGUCUUGGUGCCGUCAGAUAUUGAAGGGACUGGCCUUCCUGCACUCAAGAGCCCCUCCCAUCAUACAUCGGGAUCUCAAGUGUGAUAACGUCUUCAUAACUGGCACCACAGGUUCAGUAAAGAUAGGCGACCUUGGAUUGGCCACACUCAAGAAUAGGAGCUUCGCAAAAUCCGUUAUAGGGACGCCUGAGUUCAUGGCCCCUGAGAUGUACGAGGAGCAUUACGACGAGGGCGUAGACGUGUACGCCUUCGGUAUGUGCAUGUUGGAGAUGGCCACCAGCGAGUAUCCCUAUUCCGAGUGUACGGGUCCUGCCCAGAUAUAUAAGAAGGUCAUUUCGGGGGUUAAACCGGCCAGUUUCGAUAAGGUGCAAUCUCCUGACAUUAAGGACGUCAUCGAAAGUUGCAUAAGACCAAGGAAGGAGGACCGGCCCAAAGUUAAGGACCUCUUGAUGCAUGCCUUCUUCGAAGAAGACGUUGGACUGAAGGUGGAGGUGGUCUCGCAAGAUGGCAACAAGGUUGUCUUCCGCCUUAGGGUUAUAGAUCCCAAGAAGCGAACCCAUAAGCACAAGGAGAACGAGGCGAUACAGUUUGACUUCGACCUGGAGGGCGAUAGGCCAAAUACUAUUUCAGAAGAAAUGGCAAAGUCUGGAAUCAUCUUUGAAGAUGACGCCAAAACUGUGGCUCAACUUCUGAAAGCUCAAAUAACUCAGAUAACAAAGGAAAGGGAAGCGCAAAGGUCGAAGGAACAGGAGGCUUUAGCACAGCAGAUGCAGUAUCAGCAAUAUAUUCAGCAACAAGUAGAACAGCAAUUAUCUCAACAGCAGCAACAAUCCUCCAACGUUCCCCAGCAGCAACCCACACCUCAACCUCAGCCAACACAACAGGUCUAUCAAUCUCAACCCAGUUACCAGCAAACAAGUACAGAGAACCAGUCCCAACAGCUUCCUCCUCAGCAUUACAAUCAACAAGGACAACCACACCAAGCUCAGCAGACUCAGAUAAUCCAGGAAUCCAGCCAGAUGUCCCAACCUCAAUAUCAGCAGCCCCAGAAUAUUAUUCAACAAGAGCAAACUCAACAGUUUGUACAACAAUCUCAACCAUCCCAGCAAGACUCUGGUAUGAUACAACAACAUCACAUCACCACCCAAUACCAGCAACAAUCGCAACAGGUUCAGCAACAAGAAGCUCAAGUGUUUCAACAAACCCAGCAGAUUCCCCAACAGCAACAACAGGCUCCACAACAGCAGAUUCAACAGCAACAGCCUCCGCAUCAAAUGCAGCAACAGCCUCAUCAAAUUCAACAGCAGCAAACUUCCCAGCAGCACUCUGAGGCCCAGCAUAACAUACAGAGACAGCAGUCUGUGGAUCCAGUUCAGCAACAGGUCACUAUACAUACACAGCAAAGCCAACAGCAGCAAUUCAUUCAGCAGAAUUACAUUUUGGAAAAUCAGCAGGAGUAUCUUAAUGUCAUAGUUGAAAAUCAACAUAAACUUAGCAGCAUUUCUCAACCGGAACUGUUGCACGCUACCACACCCCAAGUGGAGCACAGACUGAGUGUGGACAGUCAGAUUGACAAGAUCAACCCUCAGACACAAAUAGAUCCACAAUUGAGUACUCAACAGCAUCAAGGUACCCAGCAGAUGGUUCAUCAGGUUGAAGGUUACAUUAUUUAUCCUCAACCUCAACAACAAGGUAAUUUCCAGCCGGCACAGCCCCAGACUUAUCAGCAGGGGCAAUAUACUGAACAAGCUCCUUCAUCUACACAUAGUAAUUACCCUACUCAACAAACAUCUCAGCAAGUGAAUUAUCAACCUCAAUCAUCGCAAAAUUAUAUGCCCCAGCAAACUGUAAGCUAUCAGCAACAGGGUCAUUUUGUGGAUCAGAAUUCUUAUCAAACUCCUCAGACCCAGUAUACACAGCAAAGUACCCCUCAACAGGGUCAGCCUCAGUUUGCGCAACAGGGGGCUCCGCAAACUCAGCAGCCCCAAUAUGCCCAGCAGACGAAUCCACAGCCUCAGCAAACACAAUAUACUCAGCAAGGAACACCUCAAACGCAGUACACGCAACAGGGUUCGCAACAAACACAACCUGCACAGUACCAACAACCACAGGGUACCCAGCAAACUCAGUAUUCACAGCCGAACGCCCCUCAAACACAUCAAUGUCAGUAUUCUCAACAGAGUUCUACACAGUCCCAACAAGUUCAGUAUCCUCAACAAAGCACGCAGCAGGCACAGUUCUCAUCUCAGGGAACGCCGCAAACGCAGUAUGCUCAACAGAACACAUCUCAGGCUCAGGCGGCCCAAUAUGCUCAGCAAAAUACUGCGCAACAGUCGCAAUACAAUCAGCAGGGGACAUCACAGCAACCACACAUGUACCAAGGACAGCAGGCGCCUCCCGCAUAUAAUCAGCAACAGUCUCAGGCAGCUCAGUAUCAACAAUAUAUUUCUCAAACUUCAGUAGAACACCAGGUUUAUCAAUCGAAAGGUGAGCCUUUGCAGCAGUUGUACCAACAACCGCAAAUAACGACGCAGCAAACUCAGCAGCAGAUACCUGCUCAGCAACAGCAACUUCCACCUGUCCAACAGAUUCAAGCGUCACAAUCUCAACAGAUGCAACCUCCUCAGCAGUAUGUUCCGCAACAGGUGGAUCAAAACCAGUAUAUUCAGCAGCAGCAAGUGGAUCAGAAUCAGUAUAUUCAGCAGCAGCAAGUGGAUCAGAAUCAAUAUAUUCAGCAGCAGCAAGUGGAUCAGAAUCAAUAUAUUCAGCAGCAGCAAGUAGAUCAGAAUCAGUAUAUUCAGCAGCCUCAGCAGAAUCAACAAAUGGUCCAAAUGAAUCAAGUCACUGUAGCUCAACCCAUUGCGCAGGGUCAUAUUGGUCAAACGCAACCGGCACAGCCUGUGGAACAGCCGAGCGAGCAGGUUUCACAGCAGUCCUUAGCUAAUCAUAGAAUGUCGUCUACCGAAGCGCCCCCCAUGAAUCUUGCUGAGUUACAACAAAAACUUGCACAGCAGAACGCUCCGGUGAUCAAGGAAUCUCAACAAAGAGUGUCGCUGCCUGCGAUGACGUCAUUUGAUAGCCAUCCAAAUGAUCAGAGAAGGUUGUCUUCCACAUCUCAGCCCUCUACGUCUCAGGAUUAUCAACCUUCUUAUCACCAGAUACAAGAGGAUAUCUCCAGUCAAUCGUUUGACAACCAGAAGGCCCUAACUACCGAAACAAGGAAUGAUCCGCAGAAUCCUCUAGAUACGGCAGUGCAUGAGGAACAACACGCAACUUCAGGUCUAGAAACUCAACGAGAAGAAACAAGUUUGCAGAACCUUAUGAAGCAACCGUUUUCCGAGCAAAGCAAGACGGAUAACACACUGGCAGGUUUGAAAUCAUCGUUAACUGAAAAGCUGUCUUCGAAUCUGCGCAACAGGGAAAGUCUGAACAGUAGCGGAACCGUAUCCCGAAAGACAAGCACUGCUAGUGAGUACACUCCCGAGCACACCUACGUGACGGAGAGCAAAUCUCCUGCUUUGAAGAGAGAGAAUAUUUCGACAACAGAUGGGCCCACAGUUGUAGAGUCAAAACAGGAGCCAGAAAAUGACGACGAACUCAAAGCGGAACUGAAUAAUAGUCUAAAGAAGGGAGAAGUCAAACUGUUGCCUGGACAAAAAGUUGACGUCAAAAUGUUUAUCCUUAAGCCAGAGGAGGGUUCAGACGUCAAGCAAGACUCUUCCAAAACAAUAGAGGAUGAGAACAAUGUCGAAAUUAAGUCUUCAGAAUGUAAGACACCGGAAUCAGCUUUAAAAGUACCUCAAAGGAAGAUUUCAAGGUUCUUAGUGAGUCCAGUACUCUCUGGUCAGUUGGAUGUACCAAAAGAUAAAGAAUUUGAUGUGGAACCCUCACAGGAGCAAUCUAAAAAUGCCAACGAGGUUAUCGAUAAUACGCAAACCUCUCCAGCUACAGCGAAUGUGGAAUCUAUUCCCUCCUCAACAGUACAAUCCGAAACCUGUAGAAAGAACUCAGGUCAGUUGGAGACUCCUAAAGCUAUCACGGAGCUGGAGAAAAUAGUUGAACAGAAACACAGUGUCUCUUCGAUGAAGGAUGAACCAUAUAAGGAGGAGCAACCGGCACCUGUUUGUGGACCAGAAAUGAUCAACACUCUGGAACAGCUGAAGAUCAGCCUGGAUAAUCUUAAACAUAGUGGUCAUCCUGUCCACAAAAAGGAGUCGUCAGAAAGCGAAUCGAAGAAGGAGGUAGCUGUGCCGGUAACACAGAAACCACAGCCGAAUGUUCAGAUACCAGUUCCGCAGCCACAGCCCGUUGCACCGCCUCAAAAUGUCCAGAGCCAGCAAAUACUCACUCAAGCGCAACAGCAAUCUCAGCCUGUUCAGUCUACGCCUAGUCAGCAGCAGCCUGUUCAGAACCAGCAGUUGCCUCAGCAGCAGGUUAGUCCGCCUCAACCACCAAUGGCACAACCAGGUCCAGUACAGACGCAACCGGCUCAGCAGGUCGCUCAGCUUCCUCCUCAGCAGCCUAUAUUGCAGACUCAACAUCAGCAAAUGCCUCAGAUAGUCCAGCAGUUCCAACAGAUUCCCCAUAGUCAACCAGUUACUCCGCCCAUAUGUCAGCCUAAUAGUAUUCCGAUGUCCUCACAACCGCAGCACAUAAUGGGACCGCCCAGUUUUGUCCAACAAGCUCCUCCCGCACUGCAACCCCAAAACGUCCUGACGCAACCACCGCUAUCUCAGAUAUCCCAGGUCACACUGACGACGGUACCACAACCUAUACCCCUCAAUCUUCCGCAGGCACCGACGACUGCGCCCAUCAACCUACCGCCACAGCAAUAUGUAGCUGGUCCUCAGGUUUUACCCCAACAAGUUCCGAUAUCUAUUCCCUCAUCGCUACCACCCGUUAUUCACCAUGUCACUCAACCGAUGAUGUUGAACGUAGUUGGCUCUGCGAUAACCACCAAUGUGGUAGACAUAGCAACGCCCAACGUCACUUACGCUCCACCACAAGUCGGAGAAGUGACAUCACCUCCCAUCGGAGGCAUGUCUGGCUCUGUAUCUGUUCAGAACAUGGCCGUUAGGGGGCAACAGUUCCAGCAUCCGAUGCCUGUGGAAGAUCCGUUGCAUCAAGGAGUUACCCUAGUCAAGAAAAUGCCAGAUAACAUCAAACAGAUCGUAGAGAGUAACUCAAACAAGAGUAGUCAAGCUUCCACUCCCACUUCAGACGUGAAAUACGAUGUCCACCUGCAAAGUCUUCAGCAAAAGUUGUCUUCCUCCCUGCCAAUUGCACGGACUACCCUUGGUGUUGACGUUGCCGGUUCUCCUCACAGUGGCGCUGCCACUUCUGAGGUCCUCUCACCGGUGGUGGAGUUAGAACACAGUCCCUUCUCCUCUAAGACGGACCCCACGAAGAACACCCAGAUAAUGAACGAGUUCAACAGUCAACUGUCCAGGAUAAACUCUAGAACGGAGGCCGUAACUGCCCAGGAGCAUUCUAGAGUUGGUCAGGAAAUCGCACCGGCAUUGCAGCUUUCUCCUCAGGAGUCGGAUAACGCCAAGAAAGAAAGAAAAAUAUCUAGGUUUAAAGUUAGUGUUGUUACCGAGCCUGAUCCAAAUAAGUUAGUUUUGCCGUCUAAAGAAAAGAAGGCGGAGGUGCUAGAACCGGUAGCUUCCAGUGUUAUAGCACCUCCACAAAUGAACUCUGGAGGUAACGGUCAUGAUCCUAAAGAAGACAAGGCCGACGUUAAGACCAUAAUCAAUGAUACAUUCAAUAGUCUGGCAAAUGUGUUGGCUGGAAGUCUGCCGCCAAAUCAAGAAUUCCCGUUGGAAGUUUCCAAAGUUAGGAAGCAUGGCGUAGACAUCAAAACAACCAAUAUCGGCACCACUGUCCAUUCUAACCUCACUUGUGGAAAGACUAACCAACCGAAAAAUGACACUCAAUCAUUUUGUCACUCUCACCUAGCCGCGCGCCCUCUUCGUAAAUCUGUAUCUUAUGACGACUUAAAGAAAGGUAUCGAGUCGAUUUUGCCAAUAAGAAAGAGCGCAACGGAGACCCCUGAGAGAUUAUCCCCCAGGAGAAGCAUCGAGAACAGGAACGCAUGCACCAAUCUGAAGGAAUAUCCUCAGAUCGUGAUACAUCCUCCUGAAGAGAACUACAGCAACAGCAUGCCUAACAUCUAUGCCACUUCUAUGGAGUACGCACGGCCUUUGCUGUUACGCAUCGCCAGCAUGGAUGGAGGACUCGACGGCAGCUGUGCCGACUUUGAUGAAGGCGACGAUUACAGCUUCGAAUCUUGUAAAAACCACUAUGAGGCAGACGAUCUUUUUGAGAUGUCUGACGAAGACGUUCUGUCUCCACCAGCCAAAACUCAUUUUGAGGAGUUCGUGAACGCCAGACGAUUGCCGGAAGAUUACAAACUCCGGAAAAACGAGGAAAGAUACUCUAAGCACCCGAAGCUUUCCUCCAGACAGUCGUUCCACGGAAUGCCAUCUGCAAAGACCCACGGCGUAGCUUUGGGUUGCAACUAUUCGACCAUGUCGAUGGAUACUCCAGGAUCUGAGGAUUUUACGGAGUACCAUUUCGGUUCUAGAGAUAGACAAUACUCCUCUUACUUCGAGGAUCAUGGGCACUGUAGACGCGAGGAAGCUCCGAGCGAGCUACUGAAACGUCAGUUGAAGUUCAAGCAUUCCAACUCGAUGCACAACUUGACUAAGAGGCAAGAUAUCCUCUUCAGCCCUCCUAGAGAGGACGUCUUCUGUCCGUAUCAUACUAUACACGGUGCACAGUUCCCCAGUUCACAUAGAGGUAGAUUAGAUUAUGAUAACGAAAACUAUAGGUAUAAAAGGUUGCAUCACAGGUUCUCCUCCUCCCCUCCACCGUCUCACGACGAUCAUCAAAGAGAUUAUUCGACUAGACCUUACCACGCGUUUUCCCCGCUUAGCGCCCUUCCCUCCAAUAUCCACAACGUAUCAACCAUCUCUCAUGGUAACCAGACUGCGCCGCAGUAUAUCGUCUGCUCCCCUCAUACUGUACAUCCAGACACGCCCAAUGCUUUCGGCCACACCCAUCACCAUCCUCAUCACCAUGGUAGAUCUCAUCAUGCGGAAGUUAGGCAUGUGUACAAAUGUUGUUGCGGUAAGCCAUGGUGUUUGGCAGUGGUGCCUAUUGAACAAUAUUUGGAGAGUUACUUUGUCAAAACGGAAGAAACUUUCGAGGAAAUGUUGAACCGACAAAAGGCUGAGUUGAAUGCUCUUAUGGAGGCUCAUCGUAAACAGCAGUUAGAAUACAUGGGUAAGCUCCAGUUUGAACAAAAUGUCAGCUCCCCAAAAGUUGAAUGUAAAACAUAGCAUUUUUUGGUGGCUGAUUUAUGUUUUCUUUUUCUUUUCAGAAUUUCAUAGGAAACAAACUGAAGAAUCAAAGAAGAAGUAAUUUCAGUAUAUGGAAAUGAAAUUGAGAAUGAAAGGCUGUAUAAAUAUUGUUUAUAUUGUAUCAUAAUUUGAAGAAAAAAGUCUAGUUAACCUAAUUAUAUUAUGAAUCAGA
RNA transcript from Harmonia axyridis, 10297 nucleotides. RefSeq lists it as uncharacterized. The transcript is spliced from 28 exons. NCBI's taxonomy places the organism in Eukaryota, Metazoa, Arthropoda, Insecta, Coleoptera, Coccinellidae. The record is from RefSeq and is a predicted model, not a curated record.